This 513-nucleotide ribosomal RNA is filed under the name uncultured bacterium. RNAcentral's name for it is "partial 16S ribosomal RNA". It matches the Rfam family "Bacterial small subunit ribosomal RNA", at positions 28 to 523 of the family's 1533-position model. The record is from RNAcentral.
GAUGAACGCUGGCGGCGUGCCUAAUACAUGCAAGUCGAACGCGCAGCGAAAGGUGCUUGCACCUUUCAAGCGAGUGGCGAACGGGUGAGUAACACGUGGAUAACCUGCCUCAAGGCUGGGGAUAACAUUUGGAAACAGAUGCUAAUACCGAAUAAAACUUAGUAUCGCAUGAUACAAAGUUAAAAGGCGCUACGGCGUCAACUAUAGAUGGAUCAGCGGUGCAUUAGUUAGUUGGUGGGGUAAAGGCUUACCAAGACGAUGAUGCAUAGCCGAGUUGAGAGACUGAUCGGCCACAUUGGGACUGAGACACGGCCCAAACUCCUACGGGAGGCUGCAGUAGGGAAUCUUCCACAAUGGGCGCAAGCCUGAUGGAGCAACGCCGCGUGUGUGAUGAAGGCUUUCGGGUCGUAAAGCACUGUUGUAUGGGAAGAAAUGCUAAAAUAGGGAAUGAUUUUAGUUUGACGGUACCAUACCAGAAAGGGACGGCUAAAUACGUGCCAGCAGCCGCGGUAA